UACGGGGGGGGCAAGCGUUGUUCGGAAUUACUGGGCGUAAAGGGUUCGUAGGCGGCCACCUAAGUCAGACGUGAAAUCCCUCAGCUUAACUGGGGAACUGCGUCUGAUACUGGUUGGCUUGAGUGCAGGAGAGGAACGCGGAAUUCCAGGUGUAGCGGUGAAAUGCGUAGAUAUCUGGAGGAACACCGGUGGCGAAGGCGGCGUUCUGGACUGCAACUGACACUGAGGAACGAAAGCCAGGGGAGCAAACGGG
Molecule: ribosomal RNA, 253 nt
Filed under: uncultured bacterium
Lineage: Bacteria
Description: partial 16S ribosomal RNA
Rfam family: Bacterial small subunit ribosomal RNA
Source: RNAcentral